GACGAACGCUGGCGGCGUGCCUAAUACAUGCAAGUCGAACGAAGCUGUUUUAACUGGUGCUUGCACCGACUUAAACAACUGAGUGGCGAACGGGUGAGUAACACGUGGGUAACCUGCCCCAAAGCGGGGGAUAACAUUUGGAAACAGAUGCUAAUACCGCAUAACCACAGAAACCACAUGGUUUCUGUGUCAAAGAUGGUUUCGGCUAUCACUUUAGGAUGGACCCGCGGCGUAUUAGCUAGUUGGUAAGGUAAUGGCUUACCAAGGCAAUGGUACGUAGCCGAACUGAGAGGUUGGUCGGCCACAUUGGGACUGUGACACGGCCCAAACUCCUACGGGAGGCAGCAGUAGGGAAUCUUCCACAGUGGACGAAAGUCUGAUGGAGCAACGCCGCGUGAGUGAAGAAGGUUUUCGGAUCGUAAAACUCUGUUGUCAGAGAAGAACGUGUGCGAGAGUAACUGUUCGUGCAGUGACGGUAUCUGGCCAGAAAGCCACGGCUAACUACGUGCCAGCCGCCGCCGUAA
RNAcentral lists this ribosomal RNA (524 nucleotides) under uncultured bacterium. Its description in RNAcentral is "partial 16S ribosomal RNA". It matches the Rfam family "Bacterial small subunit ribosomal RNA", at positions 28 to 523 of the family's 1533-position model. The record is from RNAcentral.